This 626-nucleotide ribosomal RNA is filed under the name Microbacterium sp. UST050418-165. RNAcentral describes it as "bacterial SSU rRNA". It matches the Rfam family "Bacterial small subunit ribosomal RNA", at positions 28 to 663 of the family's 1533-position model. The record is from RNAcentral. Lineage: Bacteria; Bacillati; Actinomycetota; Actinomycetes; Micrococcales; Microbacteriaceae.
GGUGAGCUGGCGGCGUGCUUAACACAUCGCAAGUCNNAACGAUGAAGCUCCAGCUUGCUGGAGUGGAUUAGUGGCGAACGGGUGAGUAACACGUGAGCAACCUGCCCCGGACUUUGGGAUAACAGUUGGAAACAGCUGCUAAUACCGAAUAUGCACCAGAACGGCAUCGUUACUGGUGGGAAAGAUUUUUCGGUCCGGGAGGGGCUCGCGGCCUAUCAGCUUGUUGGUGAGGUAAUGGCUCACCAAGGCGUCGACGGGUAGCCGGCCUGAGAGGGUGACCGGCCACACUGGGACUGAGACACGGCCCAGACUCCUACGGGAGGCAGCAGUGGGGAAUAUUGCACAAUGGGCGCAAGCCUGAUGCAGCAACGCCGCGUGAGGGAUGACGGCCUUCGGGUUGUAAACCUCUUUUAGUUGGGAAGAAGCCUUCGGGUGACGGUACCUUCAGAAAAAGCGCCGGCUAACUACGUGCCAGCAGCCGCGGUAAUACGUAGGGCGCAAGCGUUAUCCGGAAUUAUUGGGCGUAAAGAGCUCGUAGGCGGUUUGUCGCGUCUGCUGUGAAAACUGGAGGCUCAACCUCCAGCCUGCAGUGGGUACGGGCAGACUAAGUGCGGUAGGGGAGAUUG